CUUAGUUGCGUUACAGGCAUUUUGUAAACAGGGCAUAACUGGGCAUAUAAAUUUUAAAACUGUCCACCGCGCAUUUGCGCGGUGAUCUCCUCCUAGUUAACAUAUCUAGUCUAUGCGCGAAUGCCAUCGUUUCCAAUUGAGUUUUAAUUGCUGACGUGGCACAAUUUUAUUGGCCAAUUGGUGGUCGUCCUCCGUUGAUUGAGCUGAUGAAUUGAAUUGAGGACAAAAUCGAGAUUUCACGCCUUAAUAAAUAGGUAGGGUUACUGAGAGUCUUUGCUUGUUCCUUCAGCUUGCGCCGCUUGUUCUACCAGUCUCCUCACCUCCCUUUUUCCAAAACACCUCUAUUUCCUUUUGUCUCAUCCGAGAGUAUGACUGACCGCCUCCAUUCCUUCCAUGGAUUUCCUCCAUUUUUUUCUCUGAAAAAAAGAAAAGAAACAGACUAACAACACACCGCAUCUAUUCUCCCUUUCUUCUAUAAUUUUCCCCUCUUUUAAAGAUUAUUCGAAAAAAAAUGAUGCUCAAAACCCACCUUUUAUUCUCUCUCUUUGUUGCCCUUUUUGUCUCCUUACUCUGAGAUAGGAGAACCUCGAAAAUUUGGUCGAUCUUGUUUGCUCAACUGCUCACAUUUGGAUUUUCUUUUUCUGUUUCUGAUCUCCAUUCCUUUUCCUCAUAAACCUAUGAUUUUUUCCCUCUUUCUACACAGAAAAAUUUCUAUUUUCUCUCAAUUAUUUUUCUCUUUAUUGGGACAUAAUUACCUUGGAGAUCUUUCUUAUCUGAUUUAUUUUCGAUCCGUUGAUCUCGCCAUUUUUUAGUUUCAAAAUUUUCCUUAUUUUGACUGAUUUUCUUUAUUCUCUAAGCAAUUUCAUGUUCACAUGAUGUUUAUUUUUCUCAUGGCUUUUUUGACUAUGAUAAUUUUUUGUUAUGGAAUUUUUUUGUGAUUAUCUCAGGUUUAAAAAAACACAAGGAAGGCCACUGAAGGAGGAAUUACAGUUAGUAUCUUGCCUUUUCAUUUUUUUGGGUUAUUUGUUUUUCUCUUUAUUGGGACAUAAUUACCUUGGAGAUCUUUCUUAUCUGAUUUAUUUUCGAUCCGCUGAUCUAGCCAUUUUUUAGUUUUAAAAUUUUCCUUUAUUUUGACUGAUUUUCUUUAUUCUCUAAUCAAUUUCAUGUUUGUUUCAGGG
Molecule: long non-coding RNA, 1178 nt
Filed under: Coffea arabica (coffee)
Lineage: Eukaryota; Viridiplantae; Streptophyta; Magnoliopsida; Gentianales; Rubiaceae
Description: long non-coding RNA (CARA_LNC004281)
Source: RNAcentral